Molecule: ribosomal RNA, 497 nt
Filed under: uncultured bacterium
Lineage: Bacteria
Description: partial 16S ribosomal RNA
Rfam family: Bacterial small subunit ribosomal RNA
Source: RNAcentral
GAUGAACGCUGGCGGCGUGCCUAAUACAUGCAAGUCGAGCGAACGGACGAGAAGCUUGCUUCUCUGAUGUUAGCGGCGGACGGGUGAGUAACACGUGGAUAACCUCCCUAUAAAACUGGGAUAACUUCGGGAAACCGUAGCUAAUACCGGAUAAUAUUUUGAACCGCAUGGUUCAAAAGUGAAAGACGGUCUUGCUGUCCCUUAUAGAUGGAUCCGCGCUGCAUUAGCUAGUUGGUAAGGUAACGGCUUACCAAGGCAACGAUGCAUAGCCGACCUGAGAGGGUGAUCGGCCACACUGGAACUGAGACACGGUCCAGACUCCUACGGGAGGCAGCAGUAGGGAAUCUUCCGCAAUGGGCGAAAGCCUGACGGAGCAACGCCGCGUGAGUGAUGAAGGUCUUCGGAUCGUAAAACUCUGUUAUUAGGGAAGAACAUAUGUGUAAGUAACUGUGCACAUCUUGACGGUACCUAAUCAGAAAGCCACGGCUAACUACGUG